Molecule: ribosomal RNA, 1057 nt
Filed under: uncultured Actinomycetes bacterium
Lineage: Bacteria; Bacillati; Actinomycetota; Actinomycetes
Description: bacterial SSU rRNA
Rfam family: Bacterial small subunit ribosomal RNA
Source: RNAcentral
GGGUAGCCGGCCUGAGAGGGUGAACGGCCACACUGGGACUGAGACACGGCCCAGACUCCUACGGGAGGCAGCAGUAGGGAAUCUUGCGCAAUGGGCGAAAGCCUGACGCAGCGACGCCGCGUGCGGGACGAAGGCCCUCGGGUUGUAAACCGCUUUCAGCAGGGACGAAGCGAAAGUGACGGUACCUGCAGAAGAAGGUCCGGCCAACUACGUGCCAGCAGCCGCGGUAAUACGUAGGGACCGAGCGUUGUCCGGAUUCAUUGGGCGUAAAGGGCUCGUAGGCGGCCGUUCAAGUCGAAUGUGAAACCUCGAGGCUCAACCUCGAGCCUGCAUUCGAUACUGGACGGCUAGAGUCUGGUAGGGGGAUCUGGAAUUCCUGGUGUAGCGGUGGAAUGCGCAGAUAUCAGGAGGAACACCGGUGGCGAAGGCGGGAUCCUGGGCCAGUACUGACGCUGAUGAGCGAAAGCGUGGGAGCAAACAGGAUUAGAUACCCUGGUAGUCCACGCCGUAAACGAUGGGCGCUAGGUGUGGGAGGUCAUCGACUCCUUCCGUGCCGCAGCUAACGCAUUAAGCGCCCCGCCUGGGGAGUACGGCCGCAAGGCUAAAACUCAAAGGAAUUGACGGGGGCCCGCACAAGCGGCGGAGCAUGUUGCUUAAUUCGACGCGACGCGAAGAACCUUACCAGGGCUUGACAUGUAGGGAAAAGCCGUGGAGACACGGUGUCCGCAAGGGCCCUAUGCAGGUGUUGCAUGGCUGUCGUCAGCUCGUGUCGUGAGAUGUUGGGUUAAGUCCCGCAACGAGCGCAACCCUUGUCCUAUGUUGCCAGCGGUUCAAGCCGGGGACUCAUAGGAGACUGCCGGGGUCAACUCGGAGGAAGGUGGGGACGACGUCAAGUCAUCAUGGCCCUUAUGUCCUGGGCUGCAAACAUGCUACAAUGGCCGGUACAGAGGGCUGCAAACCCGCGAGGGGGAGCCAAUCCCAAAAAGCCGGUCUCAGUUCGGAUCGGGGUCUGCAACUCGACCCCGUGAAGUCGGAGUCGCUAGUAAUCGCAGAUCAG